This is a long non-coding RNA of Gopherus evgoodei (Goodes thornscrub tortoise), 98 nucleotides long. RefSeq lists it as uncharacterized. NCBI's taxonomy places the organism in Eukaryota, Metazoa, Chordata, Testudines, Testudinidae. The record is from RefSeq and is a predicted model, not a curated record. The transcript is spliced from 3 exons.
AUUGUAUGUUCUCCUACUCUGUUUUACCUGCAUUCUGCCAUAUAUUUCAUGUUAUAUCAGUCUCAGAUGACGACCCAGCACAUAUUAUUGGAUUUAAG